This 491-nucleotide ribosomal RNA is filed under the name uncultured bacterium. RNAcentral describes it as "partial 16S ribosomal RNA". It matches the Rfam family "Bacterial small subunit ribosomal RNA", at positions 29 to 507 of the family's 1533-position model. The record is from RNAcentral.
GUGAACGCUGGCGGUAGGCCUAACCCAUGCAAGUCGAACGGCAGCACAGUAAGAGCUUGCUCUUACGGGUGGCGAGUGGCGGACGGGUGAGGAAUACAUCGGAAUCUACUUUUUCGUGGGGGAUAACGUAGGGAAACUUACGCUAAUACCGCAUACGACCUACGGGUGAAAGUAGGGGAUCUUCGGACCUUGCGCGAUUGAAUGAGCCGAUGUCGGAUUAGCUAGUUGGCGGGGUAAAGGCCCACCAAGGCGACGAUCCGUAGCUGGUCUGAGAGGAUGAUCAGCCACACUGGAACUGAGACACGGUCCAGACUCCUACGGGAGGCAGCAGUGGGGAAUAUUGGACAAUGGGCGCAAGCCUGAUCCAGCCAUACCGCGUGGGUGAAGAAGGCCUUCGGGUUGUAAAGCCCUUUUGUUGGGAAAGAAAAGCAGCAGGUUAAUACCCCGCUGUUCUGACGGUACCCAAAGAAUAAGCACCGGCUAACUUCGUG